AGUUGGUUAAGUACCGCAACGAGCGCACCCUGUGUCCUGUUGCCACGGAGAACACGUUUCUCCAGCACUCUGGACAGACUGCCUCAUUUGAAUGAGGAGGAAGGUGGGGAUGACGUCAAGUCAGUAUGGCCCUUACGCCCAGGGCUGCACACGUGCUACAAUGCCUAGUACAAUGGGAAGCGAAAUCGCGAGAUGGAGCAAAUCCCCAAAACUAGGCUCAGUUCGGAUUGGAGUCUGCAACUCGACUCCAUGAAGUUGGAAUCGCUAGUAACGGCGCAUCAGCUACGGCGCCGUGAAUACGUUCCCAGGCCUUGUACACACCGCCCGUCACAUCAUGAAAGCCGGGAGCACCCGAAGGUUGCGAUUACGUGAACGAAGGUGAGCUUGGUGAUUGGGAUGAAGUCGUAACAAGGUAGCCGUAGGGGAACCUGCGGCUGGAUCACCUCCUUUCU
Molecule: ribosomal RNA, 452 nt
Filed under: uncultured bacterium
Lineage: Bacteria
Description: bacterial SSU rRNA
Rfam family: Bacterial small subunit ribosomal RNA
Source: RNAcentral